This 77-nucleotide transfer RNA is filed under the name Halorhodospira halochloris. RNAcentral's name for it is "tRNA-Arg". It matches the Rfam family "tRNA". Rfam says of the family: Transfer RNA (tRNA) molecules are approximately 80 nucleotides in length. Their secondary structure includes four short double-helical elements and three loops (D, anti-codon, and T loops). The record is from RNAcentral. Lineage: Bacteria; Pseudomonadati; Pseudomonadota; Gammaproteobacteria; Chromatiales; Ectothiorhodospiraceae. RNAcentral also lists the same sequence under 9 other names.
GCGCCGGUAGCUCAACUGGAUAGAGCAUCUGACUACGGAUCAGAAGGUUGGGGGUUCGAAUCCUCCCCGGCGCGCCA